This 506-nucleotide ribosomal RNA is filed under the name uncultured bacterium. RNAcentral's name for it is "bacterial SSU rRNA". It matches the Rfam family "Bacterial small subunit ribosomal RNA", at positions 341 to 848 of the family's 1533-position model. The record is from RNAcentral.
ACGGGAGGCAGCAGUGAGGAAUAUUGGUCAAUGGGCGAGAGCCUGAACCAGCCAAGUAGCGUGAAGGAUGACUGCCCUAUGGGUUGUAAACUUCUUUUAUAAAGGAAUAAAGUCGGGUAUGCAUGCCCGUUUGCAUGUACUUUAUGAAUAAGGAUCGGCUAACUCCGUGCCAGCGGCCGCGGUAAUACGGAGGAUCCGAGCGUUAUCCGGAUUUAUUGGGUUUAAAGGGAGCGUAGAUGGAUGUUUAAGUCAGUUGUGAAAGUUUGCGGCUCAACCGUAAAAUUGCAGUUGAUACUGGAUAUCUUGAGUGCAGUUGAGGCAGGCGGAAUUCGUGGUGUAGCGGUGAAAUGCUUAGAUAUCACGAAGAACUCCGAUUGCGAAGGCAGCCUGCUAAGCUGCAACUGACAUUGAGGCUCGAAAGUGUGGGUAUCAAACAGGAUUAGAUACCCUGGUAGUCCACACGGUAAACGAUGAAUACUCGCUGUUUGCGAUUACAGCAAGCGGCC